AGCGCAGGCGGAUAGGUCAGUCUAAAGUGGAAUCCCGGGGCUCAACCUCGGAACUGCUUCGAAUACUGCCUGUCUUGAGUUCGUGAGAGGAAAGCGGAAUUCAGGGUGUAGCGGUGAAAUGCUUAGAUAUCCUGAGGAACACCAAUGGCGAAGGCAGCUUUCUGGCGUGAUACUGACGCUGAGGCUCGAAAGCGUGGGGAGCGAACG
Molecule: ribosomal RNA, 207 nt
Filed under: uncultured bacterium
Lineage: Bacteria
Description: partial 16S ribosomal RNA
Rfam family: Bacterial small subunit ribosomal RNA
Source: RNAcentral